CAAAUUCCAAAAUGACAAGUAAAAUUCGCCCGCUCCAAAUGUGUGCGCGGUUAUUACUUUUUUCCGCCAUUGUGUAGUUGCCUGUUGAAAGACUUGCAUUGCAUUAUUAAAGUAUUUUUUCUACAUAGAGUAUCAUCGUGUAUGUGCGGAAGAAAAUAAGCGUUGGAUUUGCAAAAAAGCCGUCAAACUAGAAAAAAUUUCCAGAAAAAACUGCGGUGGAAGUUUUCGGGGCUCCAUUGACACAUAAGGAAAUUGUGGAGGAGUUUUGCGAGUUAGCGAAUAGUUUAUCGUGAAAAAUUUCCGGCUCCUAACCAGCCAAACGAACUCGAACCGAACAAUGCUUACUCAAGUCGCUAGAAUCAACCGAUCUCAACAAACUAAUUGUCAGUAAUAUCCCUAAGCUAAUGGAAAACGGAACCACCGCCGUAACCGCUACCUUGGACUUUUUGGAAACUUCCAUGCGCUACUACCUGGAUUCGAGUGGUCCAUCAAAAAAUCGUAUCGAAGAAUAUCUCCUUUUGGUACAGAAAAAAUCGAAGAUCCCCCCGUUGUGGACCGGACCGGCACAUGCGUUUGCUUUUAUUACAGCAAGGGGGCGGGGACCAACACGGCUGAAAAGGAUGUCUCUUGCAGUUGUCUAUGAACUGGACGACGAUGAGCAUGAAGUGAACCUCAAAGCUGGAGAGCUGCACAAUGAUGAAGUUGAAAUAGUACCGGAAACGGGAAAUAGUGUCUCUGAAAAAAAUUCGUAGCAAGGUAAAAGAUCACAGCGAAUAUCGAGUCGAGCGACAACGACAUGCAGAUGUUGAACGAAUCAGACCUGGAAACAUAAACAGUCGAAACGAUCGUUAAACCGAUGCUGUGUUCAAAAACGUAGAUCGGAAGCAGGACCACAGGCUGAUGAUUCUGAAGCACGAGAAAGGCAUCCAAAAGUUAUGGAUCGCAUCGUUUGCGAGUUAAGUUUUGAUGAUAUCGAAUUAAUAGACCGCUAUUGCCAUGCUUGUCUGAUAAUCGCCUGCUACAAGGGCCAGUACAAAUUCGCGCAAUACCUGCUCUUGCUUAAUACAGACUGAACCGACGCAGCGGUUGCAUCGAAUUUGGUUCGCUAAAAAUCCUCCAACUACCGAGUCAAUACGGUGCUAAAUUGAAUGUACAACACUUCUCCUGGCGGAUGUGACUAGACCUCCCGGUCUUGGAACACCCUACUAUAUGUGACUCGGGAAAAGGAAUUCGCAGCUUGGUGCACCUAACGUGUAUAAGAAACGUGUUGGUUUAUGCUCGUUUUGGAAACGAGCGAAGAAUGCCGGUUAUUACUCUGCGAGAACAACGAUCUCACCGCGCUGGUAGAACUGGUGAUACACCCAGACGAGGCUGUAGGCGUUGCUUAUACGCUGAUUCUCGGGCCAGUCUAUCAACCCGUAUACUAGCUACUAUAUUCGCUUCCAACCUACUGCAUGUACAGACUCAGGUCGUUGCGACCGGUGUGUCAAAUUUCGGACGUACGCACUGUCGAUGUUGCAAUCAUACUGUUCAGUCGCAUAUAAGAAUCAACUUUAACAAAAAUACUCGCCAUCGGAACUUUUUCACUUGCUUCGUCGGAUACUGCUACUGUGUACUACUAUCAGCACCAUUAGUUAGACCAUUGCUAUAAAAAUUUAAUAAUGUAUUAUUCACAUUAAUUUUGUUCUAUGCUAUGAGUAAAAAAAUAAAACAUA
Topomyia yanbarensis is the source of this 1715-nucleotide long non-coding RNA. RefSeq lists it as uncharacterized. The transcript is spliced from 7 exons. The record is from RefSeq and is a predicted model, not a curated record. Lineage: Eukaryota; Metazoa; Arthropoda; Insecta; Diptera; Culicidae.